RNAcentral lists this non-coding RNA (98 nucleotides) under Secundilactobacillus mixtipabuli. RNAcentral describes it as "Lactobacillus mixtipabuli TPP sequence". It matches the Rfam family "TPP riboswitch aptamer (THI element)". Rfam says of the family: Vitamin B(1) in its active form thiamin pyrophosphate (TPP) is an essential coenzyme that is synthesised by coupling of pyrimidine and thiazole moieties in bacteria. The record is from Rfam by way of RNAcentral. Lineage: Bacteria; Bacillati; Bacillota; Bacilli; Lactobacillales; Lactobacillaceae.
UGAAUGCACUAGGGGCGCCAUUUGGCUGAGAUAGAUGAAUCUAGUCCCUUCGAACCUGUAUAGUUAAUACUUGCGAAGGAAAGUGUACGUGAACAUCA